GGGUGCACGCUGCACUCCUGUCUGCUGGCCAUCUGCUAUGUCCUUCCACCCGUCCGGGCCACUGUGGUCCCCCGAGCUGGACACACUGUUGCCCCUCCGUGCCCCAUGCAACCCAACCCCCACAGCAGCCAGGCGCUUGCCUGAAGAGCUACAUUGGAUUGUGCCGCUCACCUGCUCACAGCCCCACCACACCUAAACGAAGCCCACGCCCCCCAGUCCUCCUCACGAGCCCUGCAGGACCUGCCCACCUUGGCACACUCUGGCUGGGUCCUUCUGGCAAGCAGGUUUGUCCUUGCUGGAAGGACCUCACACCUUCUGUCUGCCCAUGAGUAUGCCCCUUGACCCUUUCCUCAGACGGCCAUCAUUCCCAUCCUAUAAGCCUCUGCCGGCACCUCUCCGAGGUGGCUUCCCCGGGCACAGAUCUGCAGGCGCCCACCCGGGGCCUCUCCCCUCGCACACUGACCACCAUUUGUAACCACGUGUCUGUUGUUUACUUGCUCGCGGCCAGCCUUCGUGAGCACUGCCCUAUCCGGGGACCCGGAACCUGCCCUUGAGGAAGCUACAAUGCUGCAGGACGGGGACAGCGGUGACACAGGCGCAGCUGCUGCAAGCAGGCACAGUCCUAAGCAGAACAGAGCAGGUGCCGGGAGAAUCUGCACUUGCCCGUCCAGGUGGUGAGAAGGAAGGACUCGCUCCCCGACAUGCCGCAGACAGAACAAAACCCCCGCCGACAGGCCUCCCGCCUUCCCUCUCCAUGCCCUGCUUGGCUCCGUUUCCUCCUAGAAGAUGAGGGGCACGUACUGACACCAGAGAGGCUCACGGACGGAGACAACAGGACCUCAGAAGGCCAUCCAGAGGGAACAAGUCCACCCCAGAUGGCCACCUCUUCACACACUGACCGGGCUGGCUAUCUCUCAUCAUUCAGGACUUCCCUCAGAUGACAUCACCCCAGGUCUUCCCUGACCUUGACAUCUGCACCUUGCAGUCACUUUACUGUUAUUUCGUAUUCGUUGUACUUGUUACUCUCAGAAAUGAUGUCGCCCAUCCAUUACCAGUCCCCCUCCCGAGUAUACUGUCGUCUCCACGAGUCUGGUCUGCUGCAGGACUCCACGGCCUUUGCACAGCUGGUGCUCAGUAAACCCCAGAAUGAGCAGAAUGGUCUGGGGGCUUCUCAUGACCAGUCACUGAUGACUUCAUGGUUUCUGAUCUCAUUUUAUACUGGUGAGAGUCCCCAGUUAGGGAUAAAACCGCUUACUUUCAACAGUUCACAGAAAUAAAUCCCAGAGCUAUAGACACUCCUAAAGCCAGCCAGGGAAGACACUGUUUUUGGCUUGCUGCUCUGAUGGAAGGGGACAGGAGCCCUCGGGAGCUCCCCUGGUGCACUCAGGCCAUCAAGGCUCCUGGGCUCCCGUGUGCGAGGGUGGGGCCUGGAUGGUGGGGUGGGGGGCAGUGGACGGAGAGGACAAAGUGACACAGUGGGGAGCAGGGGCUCUCGUAUCUCACGCCUGGCUUCAAAUGCUCACCUCACCACUUACUGUGUGUGUGUGUGUGGCCUGAGAAAACAAGUGUCACCUCUCCCAGCUUCCGCUUCCUCCUUUGUAAAAUUAGGAUAACAGGCAUGGUGUGAGCGUUCAACAGGGCGAUGCCCACACAGCCUGCGGAGAGUGAGCGAUCUGGGCUGUUCUAUUCAUUAC
Molecule: long non-coding RNA, 1694 nt
Organism: Lutra lutra (Eurasian river otter)
Lineage: Eukaryota; Metazoa; Chordata; Mammalia; Carnivora; Mustelidae
Exons: 3
Source: RefSeq, a predicted model, not a curated record